GACGAACGCUGGCGGCGUGCCUAAUACAUGCAAGUCGAGCGGACUUUUAACCUUCGGGUUCAAGUUAGCGGCGGACGGGUGAGUAACACGUAGGCAACCUGCCUGUAAGAUCGGGAUAACUAUCGGAAACGAUAGCUAAGACCGGAUAAUUGAUGUUUCCGCAUGGAGGGAUCAUGAAACACGGAGCAAUCUGUGGCUUACAGAUGGGCCUGCGGCGCAUUAGCAGUAGGUGAGGUAACGGCUCACCUAGGCGACGAUGCGUAGCCGACCUGAGAGGGUGAACGGCCACACUGGGACUGAGACACGGCCCAGACUCCUACGGGAGGCAGCAGUAGGGAACCUUCCGCAAUGGACGCAAGUCUGACGGAGCAACGCCGCGUGAGUGAUGAAGGUUUCGGAUCGUAAAGCUCUGUUGCCCUAGACGAACAGCAGGGAGAGUAACUGCUCUCUGUGUGACGGUA
Molecule: ribosomal RNA, 461 nt
Filed under: uncultured bacterium
Lineage: Bacteria
Description: bacterial SSU rRNA
Rfam family: Bacterial small subunit ribosomal RNA
Source: RNAcentral